AGAGUCUCAAAUCAGGCUUAGAUGAAAGCACUGAGGAGAUGUUUUGUCCUUCAUUUGACAAAUAUUUAUUCUAGAACACUGUUCCAAAGAAUUAAAAAUCUAAAUAAAAUAUAGCCAUCCAGGCAGCUAGCAGAAAAAUAAUGAAAUAAAAGUACAUUUAUUGGCAUGGAAAGUUGUUCACAAUAAAGGAAAAUAUAUAUCCAUAAGCAUUGUUCACUUUUCUGUGUGUAUGUGUGAGUAGAGACUGUGUGUAUGUAUCUAUCCAGAUAUUUUUUUUCAUUAUUCAUGUAUAUACAUAGAUAUAUUGAGCGUGUAGUGUGCUAUCUUAAACAAACAAAACACUUGCCUGUAGUUACUCUGUCUUCUAAGAGCUGGUGUAGGGGUGGUAGACAGUGAUGUAGAAGGUGGUCAGAAUCACAGCUUUCAUGCCAGUGGGAGAAUAAAUCUCUAUACUGCUUUCUUUUGCCUACACAAGCCAGUACAAAAGGAGUCUUGCCUAAGAUUUUAAUCAUGUUAAAAGAAAGAUUAAAAUUUCAAAAUUUAGGGUAAGUUUUGCCUAAUACAUUUUAACUUUAGAGCAAUGCACAUUUGCAUAACAAAAAUCUCAAAGAACAUAGUUUCUAUCUUUAAGGAGCUCUUUUAGAAAAACACAGAGGAAGAAGUCACUGCCUCUACCUGGAGGUACCCAGGUAGGCUCCCUCAAGGAGUUGGUCUUUAAAUUGGGUUUUAAAUGAAAAGUCCUCAGAAAAUAAACAGCACAUGUUAAAGCAUAAAGGAGCCUGGCAAUUCAGUAGGACUGGACCUCAGACAGGGGUGUAUGGAGACCCACAUAUGGAAGGGAGUGUAAGUGGUAGCAAAAGGCUGUAACAGCAAAUGGGGCCCAGAUAAUGAAAAUGUAAGCCAGCCGGGCAUGGUGGCUCACUCUUGUUAAUCCCAGCACUUUGGGAAGCCAAGGCAAGAGGAUUGCUUGAGUCAAUGAGUUCAAGACUAACCUGGGCAACAUAGUGACACCUCUGUCUCUACAAAAAAAAUUUUUUUUAAAUUAGCUGAGUGUAGUGGCACACACCUGUAGCCCUAGC
This 1079-nucleotide long non-coding RNA is filed under the name Homo sapiens (human). RNAcentral describes it as "non-protein coding lnc-TROVE2-5:1". The record is from RNAcentral. Lineage: Eukaryota; Metazoa; Chordata; Mammalia; Primates; Hominidae.